Molecule: transfer RNA, 72 nt
Filed under: Camelus dromedarius (Arabian camel)
Lineage: Eukaryota; Metazoa; Chordata; Mammalia; Artiodactyla; Camelidae
Also listed under: 1 other name
Rfam family: tRNA
About the family: Transfer RNA (tRNA) molecules are approximately 80 nucleotides in length.
Source: Rfam by way of RNAcentral
GAGGGGAUAACUCAGGGGUAGAGUGCAUGCCUAGCAUGUUCGAAGUCCUGGGUUCAAUCCAUAGUACCUUCA